This 1298-nucleotide ribosomal RNA is filed under the name Triticum aestivum (bread wheat). RNAcentral describes it as "partial small subunit ribosomal RNA". Lineage: Eukaryota; Viridiplantae; Streptophyta; Magnoliopsida; Poales; Poaceae. The record is from RNAcentral.
GGUGGGUAGGGUAAGGGUGGAGGUAAGCUUUCGCCUUUGGAGGGACUAAAGGGGUAGAGGAGGGGGAGGGGGUUUUGGGAUCAAAGCGAGGAGGAAGGGGUACACUACCCUACGGCGGGUUUGGGAUGGGGGUCAGGGACUGGCGGCGACGGAGGAAGGGGCGCUGGACCUACAGGCGUACCUGCCGAAGGCCCGGGACUAGCGGCGGCCCCGGUGGCGGCAGACGACGCAGCAGACGCGGUAGACCCGUAAGGCGAGGGGAAGGGGGGGAGGGGGGUUCUUCGUCGUCGGGUAANNNNNNNNNACGACGCAGACGCGAAGGACACCAACGACGCGGUUAUGGUGAAAGGGGUCGCGGUUGCCGCUCUACCGGCAGCCGCCCCUCUACUUGUUCCGCGGCCGCGGUCGUGGACGUUGCUGCCCGCGGAGGUACUACCUCGUCGAGCACGGACUCUAGUGGUGGGUGCGCGAGUCAAUGGAGCUGACGUGAUCGGAGACGGCGGAGAGCUACUGGUUAAGUCGGUACGCGGCGCGGCGGUUGCUGCUACCCCGAACCUUCCGCGAGAUGGUGUUCCUAAAAUGUCGCCUCGUCCUAUGAUAUUGAGGUGGAUUGCCUACCUUCCGUAUGAUACGUCGAUGUUUCCGGUAGUACUUACACUUACGACUCAAGAUAUUAUAGUAGUCCCUUCCUAGGAACGGUCGUUACUCAGUGAAGACCGAAUUGAGUCUGAUACAUUUUACGCAUGUACGAUGACCUCUCGAAAAAUGUCCUAUGUUACGUCACUACUUGUCGACCCCGAACAAUAAGUUGACCCCGGUUCUACCUCCGGUCCCGUGACUAAAAGUCGAUGCCCUACAGUCUCGAGCACAUGAACGACUACAUCGUACCCAAUUGUACUUCCAAGUACAGCUACAACUGGGUCCCGGCAAGGUACACUGGUUACAUAUGCUCAAGACAUUACCGUCCACCGUAUACCAAGUAGUGGUAUCGAGUGAGUACCGACUGGGUCGCGGUGUAUUAGACAAACCGACUUAAGUUGAUGUUUCAAAGUAGGCGUUCUUUUGAAGUAGUGUCUAACAGUACAACGGACGAAGACGCCAAAUCUGACCAUCAUCUAUGGUUUAUACAAGCACCUCUCGAAAAGAAGUGGGACAAAAGAGACAAGUAAGUAGGACUUAGUGACCAAAGAAAUAUAAAACGGGCAGUCAAGACAUAUUUACACUACAUCCUCGAGUCUAACACCUCCCAUACAACAGCACUAACACACCGACACUGACUGAACAGAGCAGCUAUACAA